AGAGCGAACGCUGGCGGCAGGCUUAACACAUGCAAGUCGAACGGACUCUUCGGAGUUAGUGGCGGACGGGUGAGUAACACGUGGGAACGUGCCUUUUGGUUCGGAAUAAGCUCGGGAAACUGGGUCUAAUACCGAAUGUGCCCUUCGGGGGAAAGAUUUAUCGCCAUUAGAGCGGCCCGCGUCUGAUUAGCUAGUUGGUGAGGUAAAGGCUCACCAAGGCUACGAUCAGUAGCUGGUCUGAGAGGAUGACCAGCCACAUCGGGACUGAGACACGGCCCAAACUCCUACGGGAGCAGCAGUGGGGAAUCUUGCGCAAGUGGGGACGAAACGACCGUACGACG
Molecule: ribosomal RNA, 341 nt
Filed under: uncultured soil bacterium
Lineage: Bacteria
Description: bacterial SSU rRNA
Rfam family: Bacterial small subunit ribosomal RNA
Source: RNAcentral